Molecule: long non-coding RNA, 363 nt
Filed under: Actinidia chinensis (golden kiwifruit)
Lineage: Eukaryota; Viridiplantae; Streptophyta; Magnoliopsida; Ericales; Actinidiaceae
Description: long non-coding RNA (ACHI_LNC008016)
Source: RNAcentral
UGAAUUGUUCUAAUCGAGUCAAAUUUAAAGUUAUACAAAUUUUAUUAUCAUUACAGUAAAAAAAAAUAAUCAAACCUGCUCUGAUUGGUAUUGGACCCGUUGAACAUGAGUUUGGUGGAUUGGCCAAAUUUGCCCAGUCAAAUUUUUACACCUCUUUUAUCUUCCUGGUAAGAAUUUAAUGCCUUUUAAUUUGAAAAGACUUUUCCAAUCUUCUUGUGUCAUAGCAACAUGUCAUGGUUAUAAAAAAAAAUCAUCAUUUUAAUAGAAGUAUCAGAAAUGAACCUGGCCCAUGCUUAAAUCCUCACAAAAAAUGUAUUAAGCAAGCCACAAAAGAUCUAAACAGGACUCAAUCAAAUUCCUCAU